UGUUCAUUCAAUUUGUUCCGUACCGCCGUGGUAGGUAACGGUCCUCAGAUCCAAAAGUAAAUAUAUAUAUACUAUAUAUUAUACUAGCUGAUCCUGUGCACUUCGUUGCCCGUUAAAUGUACCAAUUUAUAUGACUCAAACUUUGUUCAAUUCGUUAUUUAAUAUUUGGUGUACGGUGUUCAAAAUUUAUCUUAACUUUUCUGUUGCCUGGAAUAAAAAUUCUGAUUCGCAGCAGUAUAUUAUCAAGUAGGCAAUCUACCUGCGGUAGAUCGCGGACCGAGUGCGGUUUGUACUUAAAAGGCAGUCAAAGAACUAAACAAGAAACCCGAGUACCACAGUGUAAUAAACAAUUACCUACAAAGCGUCCUGUGCAGAUGGUAAUUGUAACCGUAGGCCGUAGAAUGGUGUGGGCCAUAAGACUGGACUUAGUUUCGCGUGGCACAGAAGUAUAUAGUGUUAUUUAGACCGGAAGAGCUGUUGUACAGAUCAAUCAAUUUGGGAAGGUUUUAAAAAAUCAUUCCUCCGAAACAAACAAAAUCCUAAGUCCUAACAAAAUUACAGAAUGCUUUUGACACAGCAACAAUUUUUUUUAGAGUUCUUGAUCGUUUCAAUAGGAUCUUUACCUACGCAUUAUCUAUACAGCUGUGUUCAACGAAAUCUAUUACCAC
This is a long non-coding RNA of Metopolophium dirhodum (rose-grain aphid), 668 nucleotides long. RefSeq lists it as uncharacterized. Lineage: Eukaryota; Metazoa; Arthropoda; Insecta; Hemiptera; Aphididae. The transcript is spliced from 4 exons. The record is from RefSeq and is a predicted model, not a curated record.